AUUGAACGCUGGCGGCAGGCCUAACACAUGCAAGUCGAACGGUAACAGGAAGCAGCUUGCUGCUUCGCUGACGAGUGGCGGACGGGUGAGUAAUGUCUGGGAAGCUGCCUGAUGGAGGGGGAUAACUACUGGAAACGGUAGCUAAUACCGCAUAAUGUCGCAAGACCAAAGAGGGGGACCUUCGGGCCUCUUGCCAUGGGAUGUGCCCAGAUGGGAUUAGCUUGUUGGUGGGGUAACGGCUCACCAAGGCGACGAUCCCUAGCUGGUCUGAGAGGAUGACCAGCCACACUGGAACUGAGACACGGUCCAGACUCCUACGGGAGGCAGCAGUGGGGAAUAUUGCACAAUGGGCGCAAGCCUGAUGCAGCCAUGCCGCGUGUAUGAAGAAGGCCUUCGGGUUGUAAAGUACUUUCAGCGGGGAGGAAGGGAGUAAAGUUAAUACCUUUGCUCAUUGACGUUACCCGCAGAAGAAGCACCGGCUAACUCCGUG
This 490-nucleotide ribosomal RNA is filed under the name uncultured bacterium. RNAcentral's name for it is "partial 16S ribosomal RNA". It matches the Rfam family "Bacterial small subunit ribosomal RNA", at positions 30 to 507 of the family's 1533-position model. The record is from RNAcentral.